GACGGCAAGAGGCAUCUUGAUUUUCUGGUGCUUCAUCCUGUCCAAGUUGUACAUGUGCUUUGCGUGGAGGUAGUACUCGUAGUCACUGUGUCCUCCUCCCAUCCUCUUCACUCCUGUUGAGUGGAAUCCCCUGUUUGCUGUUGCAAUAGAAUUACAAAGAUAUCAGUACAUUGAAUUUGAAUCCAAAAACGUUUGAUUGAAUUACAUCGAACCUAGUACACUAGACUGAUAAAUAUAAGGUACUUAAGGGUCUAGAAAAGAAACGAGGUACGAACAGAUUCAGGAUGGCGGUACAUUAGUUACUUUAUGUAAUUAUAUUUUGAAUAUGCAGGCAUCAAAAUUAGAGAACGAUCAGGAAAGUUAAGGAACCGGGGUUCAUAAGUAAGUGACAUGUAAAAAUACUGGACGGGUUACCUGGACAGUCAAAUCGAACCACGAAAUGUAGGCAUUCGAUCCAUGACUACCAAAAAAGGUAACCUAAGCAGUAACAUGACCUUAGUAUGGGAAAGAGAUCAGGAAGUAUAUGAAAAGGAGUCAGGCCCUAGUGAAAGAAUAUGAAAUGGUGUCGAAUGGUUCUACCAAAAUGACGCUUACCCAGAUAAGGGAAUUGCAGUGAGCUUAAGAAACUACUAUUAGCAUCAUAUUUAGUUGCUAGCGAAGAACAUUAUCAAUUUCAACCAUGACAGAGGCCUUAAUUCUUAAUAACCAGCCCAAGCCAUAAGCCUAGAGACCCAAAAGAAUAAACACGCAUUAUUAACCAAUCGAAAUGUGUAUCCCAUGAAUCACUGAACUCAAGUAUUAUCUAAAGACUACACUGUAUGAUCAUUUCCAAUCAAAGUUACUACCUUCAUAAAAAUGAAAAAUCAUGACUCUUCCAACAUUUUUCAUCUCAAUUGACACCGUACCUGACUAGGAUUAUUCAAAAUCCACAUCAUACCACUCUGGAUAUGCAAUCAUCAAAGAACCCAUUGGAUCCUAAUGACUCUUUACACAAUCACCACAAACCCUAACGACCGCCGGAGCUGGCGAAUCGCCUAAUCGGCAAUCGACAAACGCCGUCACCGUCAAUUAGAUCCAUGCAUCAAACAAAUACAAGAACAUAAAACGGAUAUAUCCAGCUCAACUACCGAUACGUCAAGCCAAAAGGACUAUAACGUCGACUCCGCUAUGUUUCCCGCAUUUUUUCAUCGGCAGCUAAACGAUCUCAACUAAUGAAACAAAAGAGCAAAGCUGAAUCGAAUCAGAAACCAACCUGAUUUGGACAGGAGAAAUUCAGAGGCAGCGACGAGCCUUGAGGCGGAUCUUAGACCGGCGUUCAUUGCCAUGGCUUUUUGAUCGGCGACGUAGUGGGAGGAAGCUCGAUGGGAUUUGAUAGCUUUCGAGAAGAGGAUCAAGCUGAAACUAAAAGGAGUAUAUUGUUUAUAAAUUGUUCACAGUUGCAGAAUAACUGGGCCUUGGGCCUUCGGCUGAAGGCUUUUGUGUGUAUUUCUCCACGCAAGUUCACCGGCCUAGUGGCCCAAUCUAUCCAUGCAACUCACCAACAAAUCUAUCCAUGCAACUCAUGUAGUUUACUUUUCUGUUUGCCUUCUUCGUUGGCCUACUUUGUUUCUUCCGACCACGACGACGACGAAUUAAGAAUCGAAACAUACAUUAAGUAAGAUUUUAAUCAAAAUUUGUGUAUUGAAUAAAGAAUACAUUUUUAUAACUAAGUAAAAUAUACAAAAAUGAAUAUUUGUUUUUCUAUUUUUAGUUAGAGAAGUUGUUCUUAAAGAUAUAAUGUGUUCCGGAAGAAAUUUUUUCUAAUCAAGUAAUAAUAAAUACGAAUGCUGAUUUGAAAUUAUGAUUAAAAUAUAUUGAGUACUGAACCGAAACAAUAAAGUAUUAAAUUGAAUCUAAAAUUACCUUAAACCGAACUCAAUCAAGAUAAUUAUAAAUAUAUAUGAAUUUACGGCUCAAGGCUGAGAUUACUCCCCAGGCACCCCUACAUCCGCCCCUUGCUUCUGAGUCCCUUUUUUGGAAACGUAACUGGGAACAUGACAGACUUUGAUAUGUUGAUACCAACGAUAAUAGAAUUCUUCCAAAAAACUAGUUUGACUUGUUAAUUUGAACUCAACCAAAAUCACAAACAAAUUUUUCGCAACCAACCGAUGAGUGAUUCGCAAGAGGCUUGACUUGACUAAUGACUCGUGAACAUCGAACAACACAAUUACUACUUUCCUUACCUAAAUAAGGGAAUCCAAGUCAUUAAAUACAAAAUUCAUUACACUUCGACCCAAAAAAAUGUAAUAUAAACCAAUUCAUUCAUAUUUGGAUAAUAUUCUGUAGCUAUUAGGCUACCAUAAUAUUAUUUUUACCCAAAAAUAUUAAGUCAGUUAGAAUAUUUUCAAAACAUUAACAAAACACAAAAAAAUAGCUUUUAACUUAAUUUUACUAUUAUUUAAAGAGGUUAAUAUAGUAAAACUUAAUUUUUUAUCCAUUUUCAACAUUGCAUGUCAAAUAUUAAUCGAUUUAAAAAAUUUGAAAUUUUUAUGUGAAAAUGACCCAUUUCCAUAGGUUAACCCUUUUGAAAAUGGACCAUUUUGACAUUAAAAUUUUUAAUUUUUCAAAUUGAUUAAUAUUUGACAUACAUAUUUGAAAUGACUAAAAAUUAAGGUUUUAUCAUAUUAAACCCUUCAAAUAAUAACCAAAUGAACAUCUUCUUCCUCCUUCUGGUCACAUUCUUCGUGAUCGCGAGUAAAACAUUUCGAACUAUUCUCCUCAAUUCGUUAUCUCAAAAUACAAUCCUGAUCCUUUUAUUCAAUCGACAUACUUCCCAGUUUCGUCUUUCUUCUCUUCUUAUAUCAAAUAGGAAAUGAAAUGUCGAGAGCUUGGACGCCCCAGGGGAGUGUAGGCUCUGGUGCUUGUUGGUGAAUGUGAACCAUCAACUUGUGUUUGUUACGUCAAUCCUUGUUGAUUUAGGUAUUGGUGUAACACAACUUAAUUGUUGGAAUAAUAUACAUAAUUAACCAAUAAUAAUGUCAGAGGUCGGUUAGUAUAUUUUCUGUAGUAUCAGUUUGCUCUUAUCCCGUUUCUACGCUUUAAUUCUUUUUCUAAUAUAAAUUAUGGUACAUUUGCUAUUCAUUUUGAUAUGUUAUCAAAAAAAUUAAUAUGAGUUAUUACAAAUAACCUUUAGGUAGAAUUUAUUUUUGAAAGUUAGUUUGUAAAAAGACACUAUCGAAAUGUUAUAAGCAUAUAUGUCAAUUUCAUAUUGAGUAAUACGAUACUCAACUAAGACUGUAACAUAUCAUCAUAAUUUGGACACCGACGUCUAGUUGGGUUUUCUUUCUCCUAAACAUAAGUCGGAGUGGGGUUAUUGGCGGAACCAGAACAUUUAUCAAGAAGGUUCGAAAUUCUUACUUAACAACAUUUGAUGAAAAACAGCUAGAAAUCCAAAUUAAUUUUUUUAUAACUGAAAGCACAUACAUCCACACUAACAACAAUCAUCAAAACUCUUAAGAAAAUAUUUUUAACUUCAUUUGACUAUUAUUAAAAGGGGUUAACAUGGUGAAACAUUAAUUUUUAGUCAAUUCCAACAUGCAUAUCAAAUAUUAAUCAAUUUGAAAAUUUUCAAUUUUCAUGUCAAAAUUGGUCAAUUUCCAAAGGGGUUAACCUAUGAAAAUUGACUAUUUUCAAAAGAAAAUUUCAAAAUUUUCAAAUCUCCUAAUAUUUGACAUGCAUGUUGAAAAUAACUAAAAAAUCAAGUCUUACUAUGAUAACUCCUGUAAAUAACAGUCAAAUGAAGUUAAAAAUCAAUUUUACUUGGUGUUAUAUUUGUGAUAAAAAUCCGCUGUGUAGUUUAGUAUUAAGGUCAUUAUUAUCUCACCAGGACUUCGAUUGGUACAAGAUCAAAGGAGUCCGAAAGAUAAUCCAGCUACCUUUCUAUUCAUANNNNNNNNNNNNNNNNNNNNNNNNNNNNNNNNNNNNNNNNNNNNNNNNNNNNNNNNNNNNNNNNNNNNNNNNNNNNNNNNNNNNNNNNNNNNNNNNUAAAGGGGUUCGGUCGAAUCUUUACUUCCUUAAUAAUUCUGCCAUUGAGUGGGGUAUAUUUCUAUAACGAUUGUUACAAUUCCUCUAAUAGCUAAAACUUAUCUCGAAAAAGAUAGCUUGUAAGUCAAAAAUGUCUAAAAACUUAGAAAUCCACAUAUCAAAUCGAGCAUAAGAUAAAUCCAAAUCAUUAAAUACAUUAAAUAUAAUAAAAUCCAACUCAUUAAAUACAAAAUUUAUAAGAGAAUCCAUCUCAUUAAAUACAAAACUCGUUACAGUUUGACCCAAAACAAUGUAUGUAAAAGCAAUUCAUUCUAACUUUGGAUAAAUUUAUUUUUGGUAACUAUAAAACUACGAUAGUAUGAAGACCUCCAACAUUUUCCUACUCUUUCUAGUCACAUUCCUCGUCAUCGCCGGUAAAUUUUUCGAAUUUUCUAUAUUCAUUCGAUUCUGAUUUUUCUCAUUCAACCAACGUACUGCUCGGUUUCAUCCUCGUUCGAUCUCUUCGUAUGUCGUGUAGGGAAUGAAGUGGCGACAGCAGGGAGAACCGAAAAACGGGUGUGAGCUCGGGUCGGUCGAAGUGCCAACUCCUUGUGUUGAGGAAGAAUGCAAGAAGCAGUGCUCCUUGAAAUGGGACCCGAACCCGUUUGUUAGCCCGACUGUUGGUGAUACCCUUAAUUAGGCUCUAAACACUUAUCGUUAUGUAAAAUGGGGCCGACUUUAAUAUUAAUUGUUACGAUAAAACUCAUUCUACAAAAUUAAAGAAUAAGUUAUCCAAAAAAUUAUAAAUCUCACGUAUAAAUCUAGUAUUUAGCCGUAUGUUACUCUACUAGGACUGCACACAUAGACCAUCAUAUUUCAAUAGCAAUUUCAUUCUCACCCAACUUAUUUCAAACAUUCUAAUGUAGACAUAUAUGAUAAGUGAUAACAACUUAUUAAUGGAAAACUUAUAUCGGGAUAUGAGCAAUUUAUUUUUCUAUCGAGUCGAGCGUAUCUUUCUUACAAAACUUGUUUCAUUUGAAGCAUAAUCGAGUCAUCAAUGUGGUAAAAGUCGGAUAAAGGAGGAAUAAGGAACGAAUAACAGUGGAAUAACACCAAAAUAACGGCGGAAUAACACCAGAAUAACACUAGCGAUUAAUAUGGUUUCCGACUUUGAGUUCAACUAGUUCAUGCAGAGAAAGGAGAAUAUUAUCAUGGGUUUUUGGUGCGAGUGGCGGCAACAAAGGAGACUAACGCUCCUUAUAUACAUAAGGGUUAACCAUAACAGACCUAACAUAAUAUACAUAAAUAUAACGAACUUUUUCAACCAGACAAUGAACCGUUCACGAGCGACUUGAAUCGUAAACAUAGAACAACACCAUCAUUACCUAAAAAAAAGGAAUCCAAUACAUUAAAUACAAGAGAAUCCAACUCAUUAAAUACAAAAAUCCAUUACACCUUGACCCAAAUCAUUUAUAUAUAUAUAUAGAAAGCAAUUCAUACAUUUUUGGAUAAUAUUUUGUAAUUAUCAAGCUACCAUAGUAUCAAUUUCCCUUUGAACAAGUCAUAAAUUCAUUGGCUACCUUACAAAAAGCAACCAUAAUAUUUCUUCAUUAUAAAUUCAAUCAUAUUCUCAAGAAUUUUUUUGCAACCAAUUCCAUUGAUAUAACGUUCUUUUCCUCUCAAGUUCUUGCAUAAAAUUUUCCUCUCCCUCAAGCCACAUGAAGACCUCCAACAUCUUCCUCCUCUUUCUAGUCACAUUCUUCAUCAUCACCGGUAAAUUUCUCGAAUUCUCUCAAUUUCUGAUCCUAAAAUUCGAUUCGAAUCCCAAAAAAACACUGUUAGAUUGUUUGGCAGGGGUUUUAAUCGUUGUUAUCUAACAAUGCAAACCCCUGUUAAUCAGCGAUUAUUUUGUUGUAUUGAUUUAAUAUUAUUCUCUUCACAUAUGGUAUAGGAAAUGAAGCGGUGACAGCCGCGAGAAUCAACGCCGGUGGAAAGUGUAAGGUCGGAACGGCCGGAGGGCCUCCUCCUUGUGUUCAACAAGCAUGCUACUUUCAGUGCAACUUGAAGUAUGGUAGCCCCGUUACUGGCCAAUGUGAAGGAUCAACUUGUGUUUGUUAUAGCCCUUGUUGAUUUAUGGGUGUUAUGUAAACUUAAUUAAUUGGUUGUUGGAAUAAUAUAUAAUUAAGGAGAACACAUUAGCGUAACUGGCACAUUUUAUUAUAUUUUUGCUAUAUAUUGUGCUUAAAACGACGAGUUUUGAGGUUCUUGUUUAUUAUUUAGGGUUUAGUACAUAGUGGUAAGUGUUUAGAGUCUAAUUAAGAGUUUUAUGAUUGGUUAAUUUAGAUUUAUGGUCAAAAGUUAGAGUUUGGAGUACGAUUAAGGAUAUGAUUUUAUGAUCAAAUGUUUGAGGGUUAGAAUUUAGCGUUUAGGGGUUUAACAUUAU
Molecule: long non-coding RNA, 6445 nt
Filed under: Linum usitatissimum (flax)
Lineage: Eukaryota; Viridiplantae; Streptophyta; Magnoliopsida; Malpighiales; Linaceae
Description: long non-coding RNA (LUSI_LNC008308)
Source: RNAcentral